AGUGAACGCUGGCGGUAGGCCUAACACAUGCAAGUCGAACGGCGGCACAGUACGAGCUUGCUCUAACGGGUGCCGAGUGGUGGGUGGGUGAGGAGUACAUCGGCAUUUACUUUUUCGUGGGGGAUAAAGAAGGGAACUAUACGCUAAUACCGCAUACGACCUCCGGGUGAAAGCAGGGGAUCUUCGGACCUUGCGCGAUUGAAUGCGCCGAUGUCGGAUUAGCUAGUUGGCGGGGUAAAGGACCACCAAGGCGGCGAUCCGUAGCUGGUCUGUGAGGAUGAUCGGCGACACUGGAACUGAGACAGGGUCCAUGGUCCUACGAGAGGCAGCAGUGGGGAAUAUUGGACAGUGGGCGCAAACCUGGUCCAGCCAUACCGCGUGGGUGGAGAAGGCCUUCGGGCUGUAAAGCCCGUUUGUUGGGAGAGAAAAGCAGCAGGUUAAUACCCCGCUGUUCUGACGGUACCCAAAGAAGAAGCACCGGCUAACUUCGUG
This 492-nucleotide ribosomal RNA is filed under the name uncultured bacterium. RNAcentral describes it as "partial 16S ribosomal RNA". It matches the Rfam family "Bacterial small subunit ribosomal RNA", at positions 29 to 507 of the family's 1533-position model. The record is from RNAcentral.